This 75-nucleotide transfer RNA is filed under the name Candidatus Altarchaeales archaeon ex4484_2. RNAcentral's name for it is "Candidatus Altiarchaeales archaeon ex4484_2 tRNA-Ile". It matches the Rfam family "tRNA". From Rfam's summary of the family: Transfer RNA (tRNA) molecules are approximately 80 nucleotides in length. Their secondary structure includes four short double-helical elements and three loops (D, anti-codon, and T loops). The record is from RNAcentral. Lineage: Archaea; Nanobdellati; Candidatus Altarchaeota; Candidatus Altarchaeia; Candidatus Altarchaeales.
GGGCCCGUGGCUCAGCCUGGUUAGAGCGCUCGACUGAUAAUCGAGAAGUCCUGAGUUCAAAUCUCAGCGGGCCCA